UACGAAGGGUGCAAGCGUUACUCGGAAUUACUGGGCGUAAAGCGUGCGUAGGUGGUUCGUUAAGUCUGUCGUGAAAGCCCCGGGCUCAACCUGGGAACGGCGAUGGAUACUGGCGGGCUAGAGUGCGGUAGAGGGUGGUGGAAUUCCCGGUGUAGCAGUGAAAUGCGUAGAUAUCGGGAGGAACACCGGUGGCGAAGGCGGCGACCUGGGUUGACAUUGACGCUGAGGCGCGAAAGCGUGGGGAGCAAACAGG
This 253-nucleotide ribosomal RNA is filed under the name uncultured bacterium. Its description in RNAcentral is "partial 16S ribosomal RNA". It matches the Rfam family "Bacterial small subunit ribosomal RNA", at positions 524 to 776 of the family's 1533-position model. The record is from RNAcentral.